This 242-nucleotide unclassified non-coding RNA is filed under the name Glomus sp. RNAcentral's name for it is "partial contains 5.8S ribosomal RNA and internal transcribed spacer 2". The stretch from base 1 to 65 matches the Rfam family "5.8S ribosomal RNA", at positions 84 to 154 of the family's 154-position model. Lineage: Eukaryota; Fungi; Glomeromycota; Glomeromycetes; Glomerales; Glomeraceae. The record is from RNAcentral.
GUGAAUCAUCGAAUCUUUGAACGCAAAUUGCACUCUCCUCGGAGAGUAUGCCUGUUUUAGGGGCAUCCUAUAAAAAAUCGACAGCGUUGCUGUUUCGCGGUGGCGGUCGUCGGAAAUUGGAUCAUCUUAAAGCUGUUUGUUUUAGGCGACUUAAAAUUUUCUUUUUUGUUCCAUGAACGGUGCUAAGAUUUAUUUCUUUACACUGUUAUGGUAUCGAUUGUUAUUACACGUGACCAUCAUAG